RNAcentral lists this small nuclear RNA (105 nucleotides) under Mesocricetus auratus (golden hamster). The record is from RNAcentral. Lineage: Eukaryota; Metazoa; Chordata; Mammalia; Rodentia; Cricetidae.
AGUCCACACUCCAGCAGCAAUACACUAAAAUUGGAGCAGCACAGAGAAGACUAGCAUGGCUUCUAGCAAGGAGGACACGAAAUCUGUGAUGUGUUGGGUUGUUUU